GGUAAAAUGGCUGAGAUUAAGCGAUAAAUUGUAAAUUUAUUUACGAGUAAAAUACUCUUUUAUCA
This 65-nucleotide transfer RNA is filed under the name Cucujoidea sp. 9 KM-2017. RNAcentral's name for it is "tRNA-Tyr". Lineage: Eukaryota; Metazoa; Arthropoda; Insecta; Coleoptera. The record is from RNAcentral.